UCCCCCAUUAUCAAAUUUGAUUUUUUUCCUGUUAAUCUGCCUCAUGUCAAUUUGAGGGACAGGACCUUUGAGUGGACAGGAAUUCUUGCUCCCUGACAAACUCUAAGCAGAUCUGUAACCAUGGCCAUUUUUAAUUCUUUUAUCAUUUAUAGACAGUUAAUACUUUACUUGGAUGCUUCUCCAAAAGCUUCCUGCAAAUGCGUUUCAUCUUGAGAGAUUCAUAAAAAGGAAUUUUGACAAAUGCAGGAGUCUGAUAAUUUUAAGAUCAUAAAACUGAACUGGGUAAGAAUGUCUGGAACUAAAAGAAAAACUGAAUUUAAGCAGAUCAAGAAUAACAUAAACAGAGGAGGAUAAUUAUAAGUUUAAUGACAUUCUUGUUUGAAAUACUGACUUUUAAUGUUUCAUUUUUCCAGAUUUAAGAAAAGUUUUUCUCUUAAGCUAUGAUUCACAACAAUUUAUCUUUUUCUCCCUGUCUCUGAUCCCUCUAGAAUUCAAAAACUCUCAUUGAAUUUUUAUGUUUUUUUGACAACAUACUUAUUUGGGUGAGUUCAAUGAGAGUUUGUUCUCCUUGCACAGGACAUGGUUAGAAACACGGGUUAUAUUACCAAGGCUUUGACUGGAAUGUCACAUUUGGGAGACAGGCAUAAAUUCAGAUAUGGCUAGAGAGUUUUAAGGCACUAAUGGUGAUCAUAUGGAGCCAGUAAAGCCUUUUAAUUUUUUUUUUUUCCCCAACGUUUAUUUAUUUUUGGGACAGAGAGAGACAGAGCAUGAACGGGGGAGGGUCAGAGAGAGAGGGAGACACAGAAUCGGAAACAGGCUCCAGGCUCCGAGCCAUCAGCCCAGAGCCCGACACGGGGCUCGAACUCACGGACCGCGAGAUCGUGACCUGGCUGAAGUCUGACGCUUAACUGACUGCGCCACCCAGGCGCCCCGACCUUCCAGUAAAGCCUUUUGGAAGAAGAGCCUAAUACCUUGCUUGCAGGGCUCCCAGCAGGAGCCUCUCACCAGCCCUGCAAACUGAGUAUGAACAACUGGAUGAGCACUUCAGAAAAAGCACAACAGCUCAUACGUAAACGAUCUUCGUGCCCGGUGCUCUACGGGCCACUCGAAAUGAUCACCAGAGACACUCAAGUUACAAACCAAGAAACUCCACCAGAUUGCCGCUGCCUGCCCUCUCUUUAUGUAAAGAUGCUUUCGGCGUGACAACUAGAAACCCUCUGGACUGGCUAUAUUCAGGACUCAGAAACUGGUUUUACAACUUGAUCUAAUCACUGGUCAUUAUUUUUCUUUUAAUUUCCAGAGAAAGGCCUUAUUUAUUACCUGGAUAACUGAACCACAGGCCUGUGAGAACACACUUGUAUCACCGCCUCCCGAAGUGAGUUUAACUAAAACGACCUAUCCUCAGAACUAAGACACUGGUUCAAGCAGACGGGACAAUUUAUCAGCUCAACUUUUAAAGCAAGAAAACUUCCAGGGAAGUUUCAGAAAAGGGAACCGUAGAGGCCAAGGGUAGGCCACCCCAAAAUGUGCCACUUUGGCAUACAAAUUAAAUAAAAAUUACUUAGGAAACAGCGGUUCAGAGACUCCUCUGUCACCCAGAAAGCCGGAAACACAUCUUCCAUGUGCAAAAUACCCUCCCUGUACUAAGGAAGUAAAAGGACAUCCUUGUUGCCAGAGAUAGGGACUUCAAAACAGAGAAAGCUUCAGAAACGAACCUGGUUACUUUUUUUCUAACCCUACCAACUCAGCCUAAAUUCUGUUUAGGAUUCCCUCCUAACUGAAGUUUCCAAACACCUGCUUUCUUUAUCCUGUUGAUUCCUCAUAAAUGUAUUGUCUCUGUGUCUCAAAAGAAGAAAAAAAUCCCUGCCUUGGUCAUUUCUUCAGGUCUCAAUACCAGCCACUGUGCACACAUCCUUGAUUUUUUUGUUUUUUGAUUUUUCCUCCUGUGAACCUGUUUUGUGUAAAUUUAAUUCUUUGGCUGGCUGAAAGACCUUGAAGGUAGAGGAAGAAUUGUUCCUUCCCUACAAUCUCAAUGAGGUAGGCAGGACGACGAUAAAAGAUAAAUACAA
Molecule: long non-coding RNA, 2069 nt
Organism: Felis catus (domestic cat)
Lineage: Eukaryota; Metazoa; Chordata; Mammalia; Carnivora; Felidae
Exons: 2
Source: RefSeq, a predicted model, not a curated record